This 42-nucleotide ribosomal RNA is filed under the name Ulva linza. RNAcentral's name for it is "partial 28S large subunit ribosomal RNA". The record is from RNAcentral. Lineage: Eukaryota; Viridiplantae; Chlorophyta; Ulvophyceae; Ulvales; Ulvaceae.
UCGACCUGAGUUCAGGUGAGGCUACCCGUCUGAACUUAARCA